GAUGAACGCUGGCGGCGUGCCUAAUACAUGCAAGUCGAGCGAACAGACGAGGAGCUUGCUCCUCUGACGUUAGCGGCGGACGGGUGAGUAACACGUGGAUAACCUACCUAUAAGACUGGGAUAACUUCGGGAAACCGGAGCUAAUACCGGAUAAUAUAUUGAACCGCAUGGUUCAAUAGUGAAAGACGGUUUUCUGUCACUUAUAGAUGGAUCCGCGCCGCAUUAGCUAGUUGGUAAGGUAACGGCUUACCAAGGCGACGAUGCGUAGCCGACCUGAGAGGGUGAUCGGCCACACUGGAACUGAGACACGGUCCAGACUCCUACGGGAGGCAGCAGUAGGGAAUCUUCCGCAAUGGGCGAAAGCCUGACGGAGCAACGCCGCGUGAGUGAUGAAGGUCUUCGGAUCGUAAAACUCUGUUAUUAGGGAAGAACAAAUGUGUAAGUAACUAUGCACGUCUUGACGGUACCUAAUCAGAAAGCCACGGCUAACUACGUG
RNAcentral lists this ribosomal RNA (496 nucleotides) under uncultured bacterium. RNAcentral's name for it is "partial 16S ribosomal RNA". It matches the Rfam family "Bacterial small subunit ribosomal RNA", at positions 28 to 507 of the family's 1533-position model. The record is from RNAcentral.